Molecule: transfer RNA, 76 nt
Filed under: Phycisphaeraceae bacterium
Lineage: Bacteria; Pseudomonadati; Planctomycetota; Phycisphaerae; Phycisphaerales; Phycisphaeraceae
Also listed under: 5 other names
Description: tRNA-Ala
Rfam family: tRNA
About the family: Transfer RNA (tRNA) molecules are approximately 80 nucleotides in length. Their secondary structure includes four short double-helical elements and three loops (D, anti-codon, and T loops). Further hydrogen bonds mediate the characteristic L-shaped molecular structure. tRNAs have two regions of fundamental functional importance: the anti-codon, which is responsible for specific mRNA codon recognition, and the 3' end, to which the tRNAs corresponding amino acid is attached (by aminoacyl-tRNA synthetases). tRNAs cope with the degeneracy of the genetic code in two manners: having more than one tRNA (with a specific anti-codon) for a particular amino acid; and 'wobble' base-pairing, i.e. permitting non-standard base-pairing at the 3rd anti-codon position.
Source: RNAcentral
GGGGGAUUAGCUCAGCUGGGAGAGCGUUUGAAUGGCAUUCAAAAGGUCGUCGGUUCGAUCCCGAUAUCCUCCACCA